Molecule: long non-coding RNA, 808 nt
Organism: Paramacrobiotus metropolitanus
Lineage: Eukaryota; Metazoa; Tardigrada; Eutardigrada; Parachela; Macrobiotidae
Exons: 3
Source: RefSeq, a predicted model, not a curated record
UCAUCUCCAUUUCGAUCAUCCGACCGCGUUGAUCAAUUGAUCAAACGCGUUGAUCAUUCAAUGUGUUGACAUUCUGGAAACGUGUUGACACAGUUUGCUUAGUCUUGAAAUAACUUACUAAGUUCCAUUGCUUGUUUGUUCGACAGAUUUCAGGUAUUGACGUCGCUGAUCGGUAAUCCGCUGUGUGGGCACCGCCAUUGCACGACGGCGCCUCCAUUGAAUCUGGACGGCAAUUUACGCCCCAAACCACGCAUUUCGCCCGGGACACCCAAACCGACGGACCGGCUGGUGUUUCCGGCACCAGAACCUCCACAAGUUGCGAAGCUUGAAACCGUUUUACAUCCCCGGAAUCCAUUGGACGAUGGAAGAAGAUGCUACCGAAGGGUGCGAAUUCACGUCGCCGAUUGGUACACAGCAGGUCGACGUAAACGCCAUACUUUGCCACGUACACGACGCGCCCGUAACGCAUCCGCUGAUCUCUUCCCAGAACCCACAUGGCGUUAGCGCGAUGCAUUUUUCAAGAUGAUGAUCUUCCGAACCCGUACCUUGCAAGUUAGAAGCCCUUAAGUGCCACUUUUGAUUUAUGUUCUUUACUGACUGACAAUGCUGAAAAGUAAUGCAAGCUAAGAGCUUGCCAAAACAGAAACAGCUUCCAUUGGCCAUCGCGUAAUUAGGCUCAAAGGUGGGUGGUGUCCCAAGCACACCUUUGGUUACCGUUUACACGCGAAAACUGGAUGUUAUAAUCCUCUGAUUGGAAACGUACCACCAUUGCUGCUUUUCUGUUGUUCUUUUUCCUAUACUUUUUUGG